Molecule: non-coding RNA, 435 nt
Organism: Cygnus atratus (black swan)
Lineage: Eukaryota; Metazoa; Chordata; Aves; Anseriformes; Anatidae
Source: the annotation of a RefSeq genome assembly
AUGCGCCUUGUUUAUCUCAUCCUCGCUGCCUUCCUGAGGCAACCACUGGAUGUCAUGGGGCAGACCUCCGUCACCCAGCAAGAAGGACAAGUCACCGUGGAACAGAGAAACACAUUCCAGACCACUUGCACGUAUCAAAUCCCCAGCUUGUAUGCCUUGUUCUGGUACCAGCAGAAGAAGGGACAAGCCCCUCAACUGGUCACAUAUCACAACACAGCAGGCACCAAGCAGAACGGCCGUUUCACCACGGAGCUGAACACUGCGGGGAAAUCCAGCAUCCUGCGGCUGAAGGAAGUUGAGCUCUCUGACAGCGCCUUGUACCUCUGCGCUGUGCAUGACACCUUGAAGCAGCCCUUCAGCACUUGCGAGGGGGGCAGAGAGAAAGAACAAAAGGAAGCUGGAAAGAAGAACAUGCAGGGACACAAGCCUGACUGA